GUCUACAACCAUACCACCCUAAACAUACCCAAUCUUGUCUGGUCUCUGAAGCUAAGCAGGGUGAGUCCUGAUUAGUAUUUGGAUGGAAGACAGAUCUUUAGAAGAGACU
This 109-nucleotide ribosomal RNA is filed under the name Castor canadensis (American beaver). The record is from RNAcentral. Lineage: Eukaryota; Metazoa; Chordata; Mammalia; Rodentia; Castoridae.